CGCAGCAAAGAUUGAGCUAGGCCCUUGACGUCACUAGGCGCUCACCAACGACCCGAGACGCACAUCGUUGAGGGCGGUAGAAUUCGUAGAUGGUCAUCGACGCUGAGGCGGAAUACAGAGGCACUCUCCAACCGGCGAGGUGAUGUUCUGGCACCUUAGCUGCGAUAGGGACCAAAAUAGUUGGUCGAUAAGCAUUACGGUGGUACUACAAUGCUGAAACACGCGACGGAACAGAGAACCCCUCACCAUGGAACGCUGGCCACGACAGCAGCCCCACGGCGGCGAUGGCGAACGUGAUGGGGAAGGCAACAACACCUGUACUAUUUUUGCGUGAUAGCUCGAGCCAAACAGCUCACUAAUGCGCAAGCCAGAGGCGAACGCGCGCGGCUAACUGGAGUGGACAGGGAAGGAUGGUGCUAUGCAAAUUUUGCUAGCAAGGAUGGUUAUGG
This 449-nucleotide long non-coding RNA is filed under the name Zea mays. RNAcentral describes it as "long non-coding RNA (ZMAY_LNC002582)". Lineage: Eukaryota; Viridiplantae; Streptophyta; Magnoliopsida; Poales; Poaceae. The record is from RNAcentral.